This 1282-nucleotide long non-coding RNA is filed under the name Malus domestica (apple). Its description in RNAcentral is "long non-coding RNA (MDOM_LNC012985)". Lineage: Eukaryota; Viridiplantae; Streptophyta; Magnoliopsida; Rosales; Rosaceae. The record is from RNAcentral.
CCACAAGACAACUGUGAUGCCUCAGGUCAAAGGACUAAUUUGCAUUAUCUCAAACAUGAGUUCUCAUGUGACAUGAGUAUGAGAACUCUUCGUUGAUCGCGUUCAGUGAACUCAUUCUCUACUGAGCACCUACGUACUUGUCUUGAUGUCACACACACACCAAUGACUCGAGACUAGUCACUCUCCCUGAGAGAAGACAUAGCACGUACCGAUCUUGACGGACUGUCAAUGCCCAAUUGGCAAUCCUAUGAUCAGGAACAUUCAGGAUGUGUCUACGAAAGAAUGGUCUCAUGAAUCUAACUUCAUUAGAUUACAUUCUCCCAAUCACAUAUUCCUUGGACUUUAUCGUUUAAGCAUAUAACAUUUAUAUGAGACGGCUCAAACAAUAAUCUAUGCCCUUUAUAUGUAAACUAGAUUAGUUUAACAUGUGAAAUGUCCGUAAAGUAUCAUCAUAUGAUUGGCUUUAGGGCACAUUUCCAACACACAAUCCCAUAGAUUGUCUUGAAUGGAUUGUAUAUGUACCUAAGUAAUCUCAUCCUCACAAUCUUCCUAGUGACAAUGUAUCAAUGGAAGAAUGUGGAGCCAAAAAUAAUCAAGGCGACACGUGGAUUUUUGGGUAGAAGAGGACAAAAAUACCCUUGAGGCGUACCAAGAUUCAUACGCGCGAGCGGCGGACUACCAUCCUCAAGUCAAAAGUGCCCAAAAUAGGUAACAAUUUAAAGCCUAUUUCAUCAAAUCCUUUCUAUAAGGUAAUUCCUAAAACCUAAUUUAUUCUAUAUAUUUUGUAUUCCAUUAUUUAGCUAAUUAAUUAGCUAAAUAAUAUUUUCCUUUCAUAUUCCCUAAAAAUUGAUUAAUUAAGGGAUUAAUUACCUAAUCAAUCCCUUAAUUAUCAAUUAAAACACCCAUUCACACCUAAAAAUACUAAAAGGCCUGCUAUCCCCAUUCAACACCUAAUCCAUCACUUUUUCUACCUUUUUUCACCAUUUCUUCCCUUUUAUUAGCCAAUUAAUUCCAUAACUACCAAAACAUUUCCUUCUAUGUUUAAUUAGCCAAUUAAUUGGCUAACUAAACAAAAAUAAAACCUAAAAACCCUACUUAGUGGCCGGCCACAUUUCUUCUAAAGUGAACCAACCUAGCCCUAUAAAUAGGCUCCUAUUUUCACCAAAUAUUCAUUCCAACACUUUGGCAAAAAUCCCAAAAUUCUCUAAACACUCUUUCUUUCUAAAUUCUAACUUUGGCAUCGGAGGUUCUUCGGCCAAAGCCCCCAUUCAUAGUGGGCGCG